Molecule: non-coding RNA, 30 nt
Filed under: Homo sapiens (human)
Lineage: Eukaryota; Metazoa; Chordata; Mammalia; Primates; Hominidae
Source: RNAcentral
ACCCAUGUUCUCAACUGGAAGUUGGUCGCC